CUCACGGUUUUGCCUCGACCCCAAAC
This 26-nucleotide non-coding RNA is filed under the name Mus musculus (house mouse). Lineage: Eukaryota; Metazoa; Chordata; Mammalia; Rodentia; Muridae. The record is from RNAcentral.